UGGGGAAUCUUCCGCAAUGGGCGAAAGCCUGACGGAGCAACGCCGCGUGAGUGAAGACGGCCUUCGGGUUGUAAAGCUCUGUUAUAUGGGACGAACGGGCGUAUGGUCAAUACCCAUACGCCGUGACGGUACCGUAAGAGAAAGCCACGGCUAACUACGUGCCAGCAGCCGCGGUAAUACGUAGGUGGCAAGCGUUGUCCGGAAUCAUUGGGCGUAAAGGGCGCGCAGGCGGUUCGGUAAGUCGGUCUUAAAAGUGCGGGGCUUAACCCCGUGAUGGGAUUGAAACUGCCGGACUGGAGUGUCGGAGAGGAAAGCAGAAUUCCUAGUGUAGCGGUGAAAUGCGUAGAUAUUAGGAGGAAUACCAGUGGCGAAAGCGGCUUUCUGGACGACAACUGACGCUGAGGCGCGAAAGCCAGGGGAGCAAACGGGAUUAGAUACCCCGGUAGUCCUGGCCGUAAACGAUGGAUACUAGGUGUAGGAGGUAUCGACCCCUUCUGUGCCGGAGUUAACGCAAUAAGUAUCCCGCCUGGGGAGUACGGCCGCAAGGUUGAAAC
Molecule: ribosomal RNA, 554 nt
Filed under: uncultured bacterium
Lineage: Bacteria
Description: partial 16S ribosomal RNA
Rfam family: Bacterial small subunit ribosomal RNA
Source: RNAcentral